CCAAGCCAUUCUAUGAUUCUGUGAGGAUGGUCACAGCUGCUACUAUAUCAUCUCAUGCUUCCCAUUGAGAUGUAAUUCUCAGAAAGCAUCUCAAACAACAGAUCACUGAAUACUUAAUUUGGUUAAAUAUAUAUAUAUAUCAGGAGUGACAUUCUUCCAGUUCCAUGUCAGUUGAGCAGGUAUAGUGAAACUAGGUAUAGUUCUGUUUACUUUUAAAAGGCUUUUCUAUCAUCAUACACAGCCUUGGUGUCAGUGUGGUGUUGUAACAAGAUAACUGACAAGACCACAUGCAUCAAUUUUCUACCAGUUAUCUCUGCCCUCGGAUGCCUUGUCAUUUUACUUUAUACAAACUGACUAUUUGAGGCAGCAGUAGAAGACUUCUUCAUGCUCCGUUGAUGAAUAAUGAAGCCUUCUCCUCAACCAUCAUGUAUCAUGCUUCACAGAAGCUUAAUUAGCUCAUCUGAGAUAGCCUGGCAGAAUUCAAAAGUUGUUGCCAACACUGAGCUUCUUCAACUGAGCUCCUCAAGGGACAACCCUUGGAGGUGAAGAUGGGGACAUUCAUCUGUUACUAUGGAGACAAGCAGAGUCAGCAUUCAAUCCUGUCCCAUUGGUGCACAGUGACAUUUCUGAGUCUCUAUGGUAACAGUGGAGUUUCUGGCACAUCUGACCUUCUCCAGGGUGAAAGAGCAGCCCUCCAGCACAGAGAUGCAAGAACUGAGAUGCACACAUUAUUUCAGAAGUAGUUGCCCAGAAAAAGUGGCUGAGUGUAAUCGCAGCCAGGAAUUACAGCUCAUUCUGAAAGAAUUGAGAUGCCUCCUGCAAUUACAGUUGCAGAGAAUUAGUAAAAGGGAGAAAAUUCUAGCAUACAAACAAGCAUGCACUGAACAUGCUUGCAACUGCAUGUACCCAGCAUUCUGAAGACUGCAAUAGGUGAGUCAAGCUCCAGUAGCUGCAGAACACAACUGAAAGUCGUUUGGAGAAGAAAAAUGCAGAAGCAGGAGAGUUACAGCUAGCCUCUAGAUCAAAGCCAUGACAACUCUCUUCUAGAUACUAUUGAUAUAAUAAAUAUUUCUUUGCUUUUGAUUUGCUAUUUCUC
RNAcentral lists this long non-coding RNA (1096 nucleotides) under Phasianus colchicus (ring-necked pheasant). RNAcentral describes it as "lncRNA (ENSPCLG00000001707.1)". Lineage: Eukaryota; Metazoa; Chordata; Aves; Galliformes; Phasianidae. The record is from RNAcentral.